Molecule: long non-coding RNA, 950 nt
Organism: Ostrea edulis (European flat oyster)
Lineage: Eukaryota; Metazoa; Mollusca; Bivalvia; Ostreida; Ostreidae
Exons: 2
Source: RefSeq, a predicted model, not a curated record
ACCGUGUAAAAGACAGAUGCAUCAAAAUAGAUCCGUUAUUUUGUAUUCUAUUAAUAGGAUAUACCUCAUCUUACAGUGCUCUCAGACGAGAAACACGCAGUAAAGGAUAAGACGUUUUGGGGAACAAUUGGACAACAAGUGAAAUAAUACGUUGCAGAUCGCUCAACAUGGCUAGCUGUUCAAGAAUCUUUAUAUUCCUGUUCAUGAAACUCUUGGAUCUUUUUCUGGACUGGAAUUUUUACUUAGAGAUCGAAAAAACCGACCUUAUUGCCCAAGAAUUAAAAUACUGUAUUCUUGGUUUCGCCAUCCUUGGAUCGCUGUUAUUUAUGGCAACGGUAUUCAGCAAGUAUGUCGACGUCACUUCGGAAGACGAUCUCAUGUAUAACAAAGAAAUGAAUGACGAAUGGGAUGCAUUUCUUUCCUUGCUAUCCACGUUUUUUGAAGAUCUUCCACAAAUCAUACUAGCACUGGUUGUUGCACUUAAUACGAAAAGUUUGCUCUCUUUUGUUCAAAUUGCAAAGGCCAUUUAUGGAAUUAUUGAACCGAUGAUCCAGAUGAAGUUGAAUGAGAGAGAGUACUCGAAAUUGAGAAAAACUACUUCUACCAAAUGGUACAAAGACGUUGAAUGUUUUGGUCAUGUCGUCAUCAUGAUCGUUUCCUUUAUUUUGUUCAUAGAUCUUCUCUAUCAUCUCUGAAGAUAUCUUUUAUGAGAGCUUAAUUGACAGAUAAUAGUAUACCGUCUAAGAAAAGGGCCCACAAGAAGGUAUUAUAUACAAUUAUAUAUAAAUGAAACAUGUAUAAGAACAGUUAAAAAUAGAUUGGUUGUCACCAGCUUUAAGUGUAUGCAAUGUUUGUUAGUCUGUUGAAAAGAGUACGUAAAAUGUAUUAUAUAUACUGAUUUUUGAUGAAAAAUAAUGUGCAUGAUAUUACAAAUAAAAACACGACUUGUA